AUUGAACGCUGGCGGCAUGCUUUAUACAUGCAAGUCGAACGGCAGCGCGGGCUUCGGCCUGGCGGCGAGUGGCGAACGGGUGAGUAAUGCAUCGGAACGUGCCCAGUAGUGGGGGAUAGCCCGGCGAAAGCCGGAUUAAUACCGCAUACGACCUGAGGGUGAAAGCGGGGGACCGAAAGGCCUCGCGCUAUUGGAGCGGCCGAUGUCGGAUUAGCUAGUUGGUGGGGUAAAGGCUUACCAAGGCGACGAUCCGUAGCUGGUCUGAGAGGACGACCAGCCACACUGGGACUGAGACACGGCCCAGACUCCUACGGGAGGCAGCAGUGGGGAAUUUUGGACAAUGGGGGCAACCCUGAUCCAGCCAUGCCGCGUGCGGGAAGAAGGCCUUCGGGUUGUAAACCGCUUUUGUUCGGGAAGAAAUCCUCUGGGCUAAUACCCCGGGGGGAUGACGGUACCGGAAGAAUAAGCACCGGCUAACUACGUG
RNAcentral lists this ribosomal RNA (484 nucleotides) under uncultured bacterium. RNAcentral's name for it is "partial 16S ribosomal RNA". It matches the Rfam family "Bacterial small subunit ribosomal RNA", at positions 28 to 507 of the family's 1533-position model. The record is from RNAcentral.